AUUCAAACAAACUUACAUGUACAUGAGUUUAAUUUAAAUACAUAACAGCACAACAGACCUAGUUUUGAGGUCUACAUUGUACAAUCAAUUGAUAGCAAACAUCAUAGUAUAUUUUCAAGGCAAUAUUCUACAAACAUAUCUUGAUGCAAAGCUAUGAAGGAUUACACCUUACAAAAAGCAUAAAAAACAAGCUUUAUGCUUUCAGAGAAAAGGAUCUAUUACCUACAGUCGACUUCUGGAGCUGCGAAUAUACGCUGAAACAACCAUUGAAAUGGUCUCAGGAAUUGUGCUUUUUGCUUCCGACAGAACCAAAUGGCUGCACUGUACUGUUCGUUACGAAUUGUUCUUGUUGCAGCCUUCCAGUCAUAUUUCUCCAUUUCUAUACGUGCAGCUUUUCCCAUGGUUUCCCUCAAUUCUGUAUCGCGCAAAAGAGGCACUAGUUUACUCAUGCAGUCGUCAAGGUCCCCAGGAGUAAACAGAUAUCCAAUCUUGCCCUGCUGAUCAUCAGGAAUGAUGUCUGGAACUCCCCCGGCACGGGCAGCCACUACAGGAAGCCCUGAUGACAUGGCCUCCAAAACGACGAGCCCCAAUGUCUCCGACUCUGAAGGCAUAAGAAAAACAUCUCCACUGGCAUAUGCUUGGGAAAGCUCCUCCCCUAGUAAUGUACCUGUGAACACGGCUGGCAUGCCCUGGAACAUUUUCUCCAAUUCCUCCCUGUAUGGCCCAUCUCCAAUAAAAGCUAUCCGAG
This 748-nucleotide unclassified non-coding RNA is filed under the name Hevea brasiliensis (rubber tree). Lineage: Eukaryota; Viridiplantae; Streptophyta; Magnoliopsida; Malpighiales; Euphorbiaceae. The record is from RNAcentral.